GGCUCGAUCCUUCUGCUUCUUCUUGUUGGUGGCAUCAUCCAAGCCCCGAGACACUCUCCUCUGGCCAGGGGCAUUGGUGCUGCUGGACAUUUUCAGCCGUUUGGAUGACACAAACGGCCCACCAGGGUCGGUAAUGGAGUCUGGGUCAGGGGUGCGACGUUUUCUUCCUGGCCCAGCUAUCUUGGCGACUCUCUGUGCUCAAACUCUCUGGCAAGGAACUAGUGGCGGCCCGGCCGCCGCUCCGCGCUGCCCCGGUCCGAGCCGAAGUUCCGAGCGGGCCCACUCC
This 286-nucleotide long non-coding RNA is filed under the name Gallus gallus (chicken). Lineage: Eukaryota; Metazoa; Chordata; Aves; Galliformes; Phasianidae. The record is from RNAcentral.